RNAcentral lists this ribosomal RNA (950 nucleotides) under Enterococcus sp. enrichment culture clone DWSRK141. Its description in RNAcentral is "bacterial SSU rRNA". It matches the Rfam family "Bacterial small subunit ribosomal RNA", at positions 47 to 945 of the family's 1533-position model. The record is from RNAcentral. Lineage: Bacteria; Bacillati; Bacillota; Bacilli; Lactobacillales; Enterococcaceae.
CGAGAUAUGGGUAAGGCCCAGCGGCUAUCUGCAGUCGACGCUUUUUCUUUCACCGGAGCUUGCUCCACCGAAAGAAAAAGAGUGGCGAACGGGUGAGUAACACGUGGGUAACCUGCCCAUCAGAAGGGGAUAACACUUGGAAACAGGUGCUAAUACCGUAUAACACUAUUUUCCGCAUGGAAAAAAGUUGAAAGGCGCUUUUGCGUCGCUGAUGGAUGGACCCGCGGUGCAUUAGCUAGUUGGUGAGGUAACGGCUCACCAAGGCAACGAUGCAUAGCCGACCUGAAAGGGUGAUCGGCCACACUGGGACUGACACACGGCCCAAACUCCUACGGGAGGCAGCAAUAGGGAAUCUUCGGCAAUGGACGAAAGUCUGACCGACCAACGCCGCGUGAGUGAAGAAGGUUUUCGGAUCGUAAAACUCUGUUGUUAAAGAAGAACAAGGAUGAGAGUAAAAUGUUCAUCCCUUGACGGUAUCUAACCAGAAAGCCACGGCUAACUACGUGCCAGCAGCCGCGGUAAUACGUAGGUGGCAAGCGUUGUCCGGAUUUAUUGGGCGUAAAGCGAGCGCAUGCGGUUUCUUAAGUCUGAUGUGAAAGCCCCCGGCUCAACCGGGGAGGGUCAUUGGAAACUGGGAGACUUGAGUGCAGAAGAGGAGAGUGGAAUUCCAUGUGUAGCGGUGAAAUGCGUAGAUAUAUGGAGGAACACCAGUGGCGAAUGCGGCUCUCUGGUCUGUAACUGACGCUGAGGCUCGAAAGCGUGGGGAGCGUACAGGAUUAGAUACCCUGGCUAGUCCACGCCGUAAACGAUGAGUGCUAAGGUGUUGGCAGGGUUUCCGCUCCUUUCAGUGCUGCAGCUAACGCAUUAGCACUGCGUACUGGGGUACGUACGACUGCAAGGCUGAAGCUAUAGCGAGUGACGGCGCACGCACUAGACGGGUGGUAGCCAUG